Molecule: unclassified non-coding RNA, 117 nt
Organism: Callithrix jacchus (white-tufted-ear marmoset)
Lineage: Eukaryota; Metazoa; Chordata; Mammalia; Primates; Cebidae
Rfam family: Metazoan signal recognition particle RNA
About the family: The signal recognition particle (SRP) is a universally conserved ribonucleoprotein.
Source: Ensembl
GCUGGGCGUGGUGGCUCACGCCUGUAAUCCCAGCACUUUGGGAGGCUGAGGUGGGUGGAUCACCUGAGGUCAGGAGUUCGAGACCAGCCUGGCCAACAUGGUGAAACCCUGUCUCUA